GACGAACGCUGGCGGCGUGCUUAACACAUGCAAGUCGAACGGAAAGGCCCUGCUUUUGUGGGGUGCUCGAGUGGCGAACGGGUGAGUAACACGUGAGUAACCUGCCCUUGACUUUGGGAUAACUUCAGGAAACUGGGGCUAAUACCGGAUAGGAGCUCCUGCUGCAUGGUGGGGGUUGGAAAGUUUCGGCGGUUGGGGAUGGACUCGCGGCUUAUCAGCUUGUUGGUGGGGUAGUGGCUUACCAAGGCUUUGACGGGUAGCCGGCCUGAGAGGGUGACCGGCCACAUUGGGACUGGGAAACGGCCAAAACUCCUACGGGAGGAAGCAGGGGGGAAUAUUGAACAAUGGGCGGAAGCCUGAUGCAGCAACGCCGGGUGCGGGAUGACGGCCUUCGGGUUGUAAACCGCUUUCGCCUGUGACGAAGCGUGAGUGACGGUAAUGGGUAAAGAAGCACCGGCUAACUACGUG
Molecule: ribosomal RNA, 468 nt
Filed under: uncultured bacterium
Lineage: Bacteria
Description: partial 16S ribosomal RNA
Rfam family: Bacterial small subunit ribosomal RNA
Source: RNAcentral